This 468-nucleotide ribosomal RNA is filed under the name uncultured bacterium. Its description in RNAcentral is "partial 16S ribosomal RNA". It matches the Rfam family "Bacterial small subunit ribosomal RNA", at positions 28 to 507 of the family's 1533-position model. The record is from RNAcentral.
GACGAACGCUGGCGGCGUGCUUAACACAUGCAAGUCGAACGGAAAGGCCCUGCUUUUGUGGGGUGCUCGAGUGGCGAACGGGUGAGUAACACGUGAGUAACCUGCCCUUGACUUUGGGAUAACUUCAGGAAACUGGGGCUAAUACCGGAUAGGAGCUCCUGCUGCAUGGUGGGGGUUGGAAAGUUUCGGCGGUUGGGGAUGGACUCGCGGCUUAUCAGCUUGUUGGUGGGGUAGUGGCUUACCAAGGCUUUGACGGGUAGCCGGCCUGAGAGGGUGACCGGCCACAUUGGGACUGAGAUACGGCCCAGACUCCUACGGGAGGCAGCAGUGGGGAAUAUUGAACAAUGGGCGGAAGCCUGAUGCAGCAACGCCGCGUGCGGGAUGACGGCCUUCGGGUUGUAAACCGAUUUCGCCUGUGACGAAGCGUGAGUGACGGUAAUGGGUAAAGAAGCACCGGCUAACUACGUG